CUCUGGCUGUUAUUGUGUAUUCACCGCGAGGUAAGUACCAGAUUCCAGGGGAAAUCAAGAUUCUUCCCUGACUACCCAAGCAGAGUGAUGCUUCUUUUUGAUUCAGUCAUAGUGUUUUCUGUUUCGUGUAACACAACUCCUUAGUAAAGGGUAAGCACCAUGUUUCCUACCUAGUACAAGACUGAUCAGAGGGUAGGCACUAAUAGCACAAACACAAUUUUUAGUUGGAUGGAAUUGAACAAACUCAUUGCAUUGAAUGUUUCUGCAUUUAACAUCAUUUGGAGAACACCAGGAUGCAAAUCUGGUCCAUUUUCUCGCACAAAACUCUCCACCCAUUGGUAGCCUGAAAGCCACAGUUGACAAAUGUUAGGAAGCACCAGCAAAAACCAGUUUCCACCCCUCUUACCUUGACUUGUGUGACUGCCCACACUUCUAUCCAGAGCCAAAUGAAAGCUUCCAGUCAAUGAAAAAAUCUAGCAACCAAUAUUUAGGUAAGGUACUAAGAGCUAUUUUGCAUUUUGUUGCUCCCCCACCCUGCACCCCAAUUAGGGUUCCCUGCAUGGGCCCCGCAGGUAUCUGAGGCUACUGCCUUGAAGCCCCCACCCCACCCACUAAAGACACUGAGUACUGGAGGGUCCCCUCUCCUUGUUCUACCAUCAUAACAUGCCCACACAGGGGCCUGCUUCUUCAGGGGUUUAGCGCCCUCCACUGGGGGACAAAGGGUAAUCAAUGGACUAUUAUGCAACUCACAAAAUUCUUACUGUCUUUCCCCUUCUCAGGGAGAAUUAUGUCCUACCAGAGGAAAAAAAAAAUGCACACAUCAUCGAUAAAAUCUUUGUACCAAAACAUCAUGCCUCGAAAUCAUUCAGGAUGCAUCUUUUUAAAAAAUCUCAGUGAGCAACGCUAAAGAAGAGAGACCACAAGCUCUAGACGUUUUCCUGUAUAAUUAAGAAGAAUCUGUUCAACAAACCCCCAUGACAUAAGCUUAUCUAUAUAACAAAC
Molecule: long non-coding RNA, 1002 nt
Filed under: Pan troglodytes (chimpanzee)
Lineage: Eukaryota; Metazoa; Chordata; Mammalia; Primates; Hominidae
Description: long non-coding RNA NONPTRT015944
Source: RNAcentral